ACAAAGGUACGGACUACGGACAGUACGGAGUACGGACUAGUGACUUCGGUCUACGGAAUCAGUCAUCAUCAUUCAUCACUCAUCACUUGCAGUUCGCUUCGACGCUUGUUUUCGGGUUUUCUGCGUGCUCGCCAACGCUCAAUACAAAAUUAUUGCAUUUCAGUAUAAAUGCACUUGUGUCACUUGUUGCAGUCCGGCCGUCCGGGUAUUUAAGCCGAAAUAAUGUCGUGUCAUGUGUAUCGAUAUUAAAAUUUAAAAAAUUCAAAACGUGUUUAUAAACGCACCUACCGUAAUAUAAUUCGCGCGCGAUGUGGAAAUGUGUAUUCAAUAUUUGAGUACCUACUACCUAUAUCAACAACAUUUGUGGAAAAGAAAGAAGCGGUGGAAAUGGAGCUUACAGAAACGACGAGAAAAGAAAAUAUAAAGGAAGUUUUGGUCGGCUAAAAAAUAUUGCAGGUACAUUCACGGCGUUGCAAUGAACUUCCUCAGACAAAAACACGACAGCAAAUGUAGACAAACAACAAAAACAAAAAGUGCACACUGACGUAGUAUAUAGACAAAGAUGACAUGCAAAUAUAAUGAACCGAUGGAGACAAUACGUAAAGACGAGAAAAAUCAUAUACACCAUGUUGGUGGUAAUAAUAAAUAAUUAAAAAAUGUUCAUUUAAUUUAUAUUUUCCAAUUUUUUUUUAAAUAUUUUAUUAUACUACAGAAAAUAUUAUAAGAAAUUACAGCAGAUAAAAUCACGAGAACAACUACAACAGUUAAAUAGGUAAAAAACUGGUUGCACCCCCAUCCAUGUUUCCAUUGCUACUUCAAAAAUUGAAACUGUGCUUUUGAAAUAAAAAAUAAGUUGGAAAUGGGUAAAAUGAAAACACAAAAGAGAAUUUUUGGCGUAGGUCUACAUUGAAUUUUCAUUCCAAUACAUUAAUUUGGUACUACUAAUUUUUUAGAUUCUGAGCGAAGCGAUGAAUGUAUUGAUUUUACAAUGAUGUGUGUUUUUUUUUAUUUUUGUGUCUGUCAUCACCUUUUAGGACAGUAAAAGUGCUUGGAUUUUCUUCAACAGUAACUUUUCUGAUAGGAAAGUGAAUCUAGUUGGUACUUUGGGCGGUCAAAAGUAAAAAUUUCCCAGUAGUUUUUAAAAGCGACGUAAAUAACAAAAGAAAAAUUAAGAAAAAACGGGAUUUUUUACGCAAAAUCUGUUUUCGAGAAAAUCGAUUUUGGUUUUUGGUGUAACUCUAAAACAAAUAACCGUGGGACAUGAAAUUUUGACUGAAUGUUUAUAAUUGCAUUUCCUAUACACCAUAACAUUUUCCAAAUAUUUUGAUUUAUUUUGAGCUGUUUACGGACAUUGUCAAUUUCCAUUUCUUUUGUUUUGUUUUCUAUAAAUAUCAAUAAAAUUUUAUGUGUUGAGUAAUAAAGCUUGAAAAUUUUAUAGAAGGCUCCUAGGUUAUUGUUUCAAAGGCAGAAGAAAAAAAUUAAAAAUCCUUA
Metopolophium dirhodum (rose-grain aphid) is the source of this 1491-nucleotide long non-coding RNA. RefSeq lists it as uncharacterized. The transcript is spliced from 3 exons. The record is from RefSeq and is a predicted model, not a curated record. Lineage: Eukaryota; Metazoa; Arthropoda; Insecta; Hemiptera; Aphididae.